RNAcentral lists this transfer RNA (92 nucleotides) under Heterobasidion irregulare TC 32-1. It matches the Rfam family "tRNA". Rfam says of the family: Transfer RNA (tRNA) molecules are approximately 80 nucleotides in length. Their secondary structure includes four short double-helical elements and three loops (D, anti-codon, and T loops). Further hydrogen bonds mediate the characteristic L-shaped molecular structure. tRNAs have two regions of fundamental functional importance: the anti-codon, which is responsible for specific mRNA codon recognition, and the 3' end, to which the tRNAs corresponding amino acid is attached (by aminoacyl-tRNA synthetases). tRNAs cope with the degeneracy of the genetic code in two manners: having more than one tRNA (with a specific anti-codon) for a particular amino acid; and 'wobble' base-pairing, i.e. permitting non-standard base-pairing at the 3rd anti-codon position. The record is from Rfam by way of RNAcentral. Lineage: Eukaryota; Fungi; Basidiomycota; Agaricomycetes; Russulales; Bondarzewiaceae.
GGCCCAAUGGUCUAGUGGUAAGAUACUUGCUUUGGGUAGCCCUUCGGCAUACAAUUUGCAAGGGAUCCUGGGUUCGAACCCCAGUUGGGCCC